GUGCAGCUGAGGACAGGCAGUGCCUCCCUGGGGAAUGCCUGGCAUGGCUGUGGUGAAAAGCCUGGUCCAGAUGCCAUGGAAGAGGCCCUGAAUUAGGAUCCUCAGGAUCAUGGUGCUGGCUCCUGUCUCUGGCCUCUCCAGGAGGGCACUGGCACAUUCCACAGCAGAGCAGAUAGCAUCUCCCAUGGCAAAGGGGCUCCUUCUGGGUGGGGAGAAAAUAUUUUCUUGAGAAAGCGCCUGCAUUCCUCCUGCUCCUGCUGGGAUGUUGGUAAGGCUGUUGCAAAAGGCUCUGUGUCAUCAGUGGGUCAUGCCCUCCA
Molecule: long non-coding RNA, 317 nt
Organism: Serinus canaria (Common canary)
Lineage: Eukaryota; Metazoa; Chordata; Aves; Passeriformes; Fringillidae
Exons: 2
Source: RefSeq, a predicted model, not a curated record